AUGGGCCGCAACGUCGGAGCUUGGGUCUCUCCGGGUUUCUGUGCACCAGGAAGAGCCUUCCCUGUUUGCGUCAGGAGCUUUCAUCUCCUUUUUUCUGGGUUGCUCGCCCGAGGUAUCUUCGGGUUGUGAGGGUACUGUAGGCUGCGUAUGCGGUUGGUGGGCUUCCCUUUCUUGCAGGUACCUGACCUAGACUCGCGUCGGCCCUCCAGGGUACGAG
Non-coding RNA from Pelobates cultripes (western spadefoot toad), 217 nucleotides. Lineage: Eukaryota; Metazoa; Chordata; Amphibia; Anura; Pelobatidae. The record is from the annotation of a GenBank genome assembly.